This 445-nucleotide ribosomal RNA is filed under the name uncultured bacterium. RNAcentral's name for it is "bacterial SSU rRNA". It matches the Rfam family "Bacterial small subunit ribosomal RNA", at positions 958 to 1401 of the family's 1533-position model. The record is from RNAcentral.
AACGCGAAGAACCUUACCUGGCCUUGACAUGCAUCGUGUCGUCGGUGAAAGCCGGCUAGCGUAGCAAUACGCGCUUUGCACAGGUGCUGCAUGGCUGUCGUCAGCUCGUGUCGUGAGAUGUUGGGUUAAGUCCCGCAACGAGCGCAACCCUUAUCCUUAGUUACCAUCGAGUAAAGUCGGGGACUUUAAGGAGACUGCCGGUGAUAAACCGGAGGAAGGUGGGGAUGACGUCAAGUCCUCAUGGCCCUUACGAGUAGGGCUACACACGUGCUACAAUGGUCGGUACAAAGGGUCGCGAACCUGCGAAGGGGAGCUAAUCUCAUAAAGCCGAUCGUAGUCCGGAUUGGAGUCUGCAACUCGACUCCAUGAAGCUGGAAUCGCUAGUAAUCGUGGAUCAGAACGCCACGGUGAAUACGUUCCCGGGCCUUGUACACACCGCUACAGU